AUCAGUGAGGUUAGAACGUCUAACUUGCAAGGUAAUAGAUCUGAUCUAUUGUUUAAUACAUACAUUAGAUAUAGUAUAGAAACAUGUUGAUAUGAUCAACAUGUAGUUCAUGCUAUAUUUAUAUAUUUUAAUUUCUGAUUUAAUGCUAUAUAAUAAUCAUGUAAUAGGAUCUUAGAUCUAGGAAUUCUCUAAUUUUAGAAAAUAAUUUUGAUUUAUUUUAGUCUUCCACUGUAUGAUCUUGAAAAAGUUUCAAGAUCUAACCCUGAAACCCU
This 272-nucleotide long non-coding RNA is filed under the name Elaeis guineensis (African oil palm). Its description in RNAcentral is "long non-coding RNA (EGUI_LNC051316)". Lineage: Eukaryota; Viridiplantae; Streptophyta; Magnoliopsida; Arecales; Arecaceae. The record is from RNAcentral.